AAGUAGAUUCGGAUAUGAAAUGAUGAAAAAACUUUAUUUUCGUACGAUUCUCAAUUUAAAAAGAUGUAUUUAAC
This 74-nucleotide small RNA is filed under the name Arabidopsis thaliana (thale cress). RNAcentral's name for it is "ATSL244410". The record is from RNAcentral. Lineage: Eukaryota; Viridiplantae; Streptophyta; Magnoliopsida; Brassicales; Brassicaceae.